RNAcentral lists this ribosomal RNA (301 nucleotides) under uncultured bacterium. RNAcentral describes it as "partial 16S ribosomal RNA". It matches the Rfam family "Bacterial small subunit ribosomal RNA", at positions 509 to 808 of the family's 1533-position model. The record is from RNAcentral.
CAGUAGCCGCGGUAAUACAGAGGGUGCGAGCGUUAAUCGGAUUUACUGGGCGUAAAGCGUGCGUAGGCGGCUUCUUAAGUCGGAUGUGAAAUCCCUGAGCUUAACUUAGGAAUUGCAUUCGAUACUGGGAAGCUAGAGUAUGGGAGAGGAUGGUAGAAUUCCAGGUGUAGCGGUGAAAUGCGUAGAGAUCUGGAGGAAUACCGAUGGCGAAGGCAGCCAUCUGGCCUAAUACUGACGCUGAGGUACGAAAGCAUGGGGAGCAAACAGGAUUAGAUACCCCCGUAGUCCUGUCUCUUAUACC